This 372-nucleotide ribosomal RNA is filed under the name uncultured organism. RNAcentral's name for it is "bacterial SSU rRNA". It matches the Rfam family "Bacterial small subunit ribosomal RNA", at positions 526 to 896 of the family's 1533-position model. The record is from RNAcentral.
CGUAGGGUGCGAGCGUUAAUCGGAAUUACUGGGCGUAAAGCGUGCGCAGGCGGUUUUGUAAGUCAGAUGUGAAAUCCCCGGGCUCAACCUGGGAACUGCAUUUGAGACUGCAAGGCUAGAGUGUGGCAGAGGGGGGUAGAAUUCCACGUGUAGCAGUGAAAUGCGUAGAGAUGUGGAGGAAUACCGAUGGCGAAGGCAGCCCCCUGGGCCAAUACUGACGCUCAUGCACGAAAGCGUGGGGAGCAAACAGGAUUAGAUACCCUGGUAGUCCACGCCCUAAACGAUGUCAACUAGGUGUUGGGAGGGUUAAACCUCUUAGUGCCGUAGCUAACGCGUGAAGUUGACCGCCUGGGGAGUACGGCCGCAAGGCUA